GCAAAUUAAAUGUCGUGUAACCGGAAGUACCAAAUAAAAAGCGCGAGGAGGUCAGUGUGGUUUAUCGUGUCCAAUAAUAAAUAAAAAAACUUCUCAU
Long non-coding RNA from Etheostoma spectabile (orangethroat darter), 97 nucleotides. RefSeq lists it as uncharacterized. The record is from RefSeq and is a predicted model, not a curated record. NCBI's taxonomy places the organism in Eukaryota, Metazoa, Chordata, Actinopteri, Perciformes, Percidae. The transcript has 3 exons.